GACGAACGCUGGCGGCGUGCUUAACACAUGCAAGUCGAACGGUGAAGCGCUUUCCUUUUUGGUUGGUGUGGAUGAGUGGCGAACGGGUGAGUAACACGUGAGUAACCUGCCCCCUUCUUCUGGAUAACCGCAUGAAAGUGUGGCUAAUACGGGAUAUUCUGCGCCUGCUGCAUGGUGGGUGUGGGAAAGAUUGUGCCUUUGGGUGUUUUCGGUGGGGGAUGGGCUCGCGGCCUAUCAGCUUGUUGGUGGGGUGAUGGCCUACCAAGGCGGUGACGGGUAGCCGGCCUGAGAGGGUGGACGGUCACACUGGGACUGAGACACGGCCCAGACUCCUACGGGAGGCAGCAGUGGGGAAUAUUGCACAAUGGGCGCAAGCCUGAUGCAGCGACGCCGCGUGAGGGAUGGAGGCCUUCGGGUUGUGAACCUCUUUCGCCAGUGAAGCAGGCCUGCCCCUUGUGGGUGGGUUGACGGUAGCUGGAUAAGAAGCGCCGGCUAACUACGUG
RNAcentral lists this ribosomal RNA (503 nucleotides) under uncultured bacterium. RNAcentral's name for it is "partial 16S ribosomal RNA". It matches the Rfam family "Bacterial small subunit ribosomal RNA", at positions 28 to 507 of the family's 1533-position model. The record is from RNAcentral.